This 718-nucleotide unclassified non-coding RNA is filed under the name Hevea brasiliensis (rubber tree). Lineage: Eukaryota; Viridiplantae; Streptophyta; Magnoliopsida; Malpighiales; Euphorbiaceae. The record is from RNAcentral.
AUUGAACACUGCAGAUAAAAUUGGGAAUCGUAGGAGUUGAAGUUUAUAAUUGAAUGUGAAAAGACAUCCAAUGAUGGAAGAAACCGGAUUAACUAAACAAUUGAGUUACAGGAUUUAUUUGAAUCUACAGAAUAUGGUUGUGAAUUACAACAAAAUCUAGACACAUGUUAUACAAGCAAUCAGGUAAAGUAAAAAAGGUUUAUUUGGACUCCUCAAUAUCUCUUUUAUGCUUCCCCUGAUACUUAACGGUAUCAGUCUUAUGAUCUUUCUGAUAUAAAUUAUUAGUCCUGUCAUGUUUCAACUAUGGUACACAUUCUACAAAUUUUUCUAACCUGCACAUGGUGCUCUGGCUACCAGCAAUUUCUCACUCAUGCCCAAGUGCAAGAAAGAAAGGCACUGCCCAAGUUAAGCUGCAUAAACACUGCACUGUAUACUUUCAUUAUCAUUAAAAUCCCCAUUUAGUGGGUUAUAAUUUGGAUCUGCAGUGUAUGAUGCACUGACAGGCAGUUGCAUGGAUUGAUUACAUACCAAAUCAUCAAUGCUGUGCUUUGCAUAGCUCACAUAUGCACCUAGAGCUCCCAGAAAUCCUUCAUGCUGUAAAAACAUUGCUUUUGCCUCCCCUUUAGACCAGAAAUGAACUGCAACAGAAAUUGUGUCCAUGGUAUAAGGUUGGCCCCGUAUGAAAAAUCCUCCAAAAAAUAUCCUCUUGAGCCCAAAU